Molecule: small nucleolar RNA, 91 nt
Organism: Vulpes vulpes (red fox)
Lineage: Eukaryota; Metazoa; Chordata; Mammalia; Carnivora; Canidae
Gene: SNORD21
Rfam family: Small nucleolar RNA SNORD21
About the family: U21 is a member of the C/D class of snoRNA which contain the C (UGAUGA) and D (CUGA) box motifs. U21 is encoded within an intron of the gene for ribosomal protein L5 in mammals, but within introns of the ADP ribosylation factor gene in Drosophila.
Source: Ensembl
ACUGAAUGAUAUCCCACCAACUGAGCAGUCAAUAGUUGGUUUGGUUGCAUAUGAUGUGGUUAAAUUGAUCCAAGAUGGGACUGAUACCAGG